UAUUUUUUAUAUUUUUGUUGCUAAGGCCAGGAUUUUUUAAUUUGUUGGUUUACGGAUCCGCCGACCCGAUUUUUCCGAUUUCCAGAAUAAAAAUAAAAUUGACUUUUCAUGCUUUUUUAUUCCCGCCGACCCUAACAAAUGCAUUAUCCCUGAAAAAUAAUUAAAUAUUUUUUUUUUAUGAAAUGAAAUGCAUUAAUCACUAACAAAAUUGAUAACACUUUCUGUUGUGAAAAAAUAAAACUUCCAGUUUACGUUUCUAAAAAUAGACAAAUCAAUUAUAACUGACCUUGAAAUGUCGUUUGCGCAAAUAAUAUUGCGGAACGAAACUUGUUUUUAAAACCAAUUACACAAUAAGUUCGUUUCCCUUAUUUGUCAUCAGUCCGUAAGAUCAUCAUCUCAUAGAAAUAGACUUGGCCAAAUGAAGGACAGGGUAAAGGCAUCAAGUUGAAGUACUGAAUAUUCUUGUUUCAUAGAUAAUAAAAAAAUUAUCGUCCAUUUGGAUAAAAAACGGGAAUGCGAGACAACAGAUUAACCCGAUAAUCUCGUUUUCCAGUGGACGAGUCUAUUAGGUUUUUAACACGUGUGUUGAAACUUAUUUUCGUACGACGUUUUUACAUUUUUUUCUUUAUCAGUUUUCGUGCUUGAAGAUCAUUAUUCACCAAGUUUUCUGGAAUUGAUAAAGAGCUACGCAAAUUUAUUUUUCUUGUUUCUGAUAUGACGAUUUAAUUUCGUCUUUGUCCGUGCACCCCCCUUUUUUUACUGUAAUUUAUUAGACAAUGUCAUGCGAUGUUUAUAACAUUUGAGCAAUAAUAUUUCAUCGAACUAAAAUUUAAGAAAUGAUGAUAAAAUAGCAUAACAAACAUAUUGUUAGAAAGGUGAAAUAUAUAUUGAUUUUGCAUAUUUUUCUGUCUUCAAAGAUGAUUUUUUUCUUUUUUUUUUCCCGACCGACCGACCCGACUUUUUCAUGGGGAAAAUCCGUAAACCAUCAAAUUAAAAAACCGUGGCAUAAA
RNAcentral lists this long non-coding RNA (1010 nucleotides) under Mytilus galloprovincialis (Mediterranean mussel). The record is from RNAcentral. Lineage: Eukaryota; Metazoa; Mollusca; Bivalvia; Mytilida; Mytilidae.